UCUGUGAGCAUUUGGAGGAUGAAAUGCGUCUGCACUCCAAGGUUGCUGGAGGGCUCGGGGCAGACGGGCGCUGCCCCAGCCUGUGAUGGGCAUGGCCUUGAGGAUGCCAGCCUCAUGCAGAAGCCAGUCUAGGGGAUUAUACAGGGUGUGCACACCCACUCCCCUACCCUCGGACUGGAGCCACAAAACCCUCCCUCUAACUGGGUCGUGGUUUUAGGCAGGGCCGUGGCACCCCACCACUGCAGGGGCCACCAUCCAUAUCAGGCAGACUGUAUGAACCGUG
This 283-nucleotide long non-coding RNA is filed under the name Homo sapiens (human). Its description in RNAcentral is "non-protein coding lnc-EXOC3-7:1". The record is from RNAcentral. Lineage: Eukaryota; Metazoa; Chordata; Mammalia; Primates; Hominidae.